Molecule: long non-coding RNA, 200 nt
Filed under: Capsicum annuum
Lineage: Eukaryota; Viridiplantae; Streptophyta; Magnoliopsida; Solanales; Solanaceae
Description: long non-coding RNA (CANN_LNC013908)
Source: RNAcentral
UCAUUGAUAUACCAAUAAGUUCCUACUUCAUUGUUAUGGCAUUGAUGACUCCAAAACACUUCAUUGAUGUGCCAAUGAGUUCUUACUUCAUUGUUAUUGCAUUGAUGGUCUAUUUAUAUGUCUCUUAUUGAUGUAUCAUUAUUUCAAAGUAUCAAAAAUGUGAUGGCGACCGAAAUAACAAUCUCAAAGAUUAAUUGAAC